UACGUAGGGGGCAAGCGUUGUCCGGAUUUAUUGGGCGUAAAGAGCGUGUAGGCGGCCAUACAGGUCAGCUGUGAAAACUCGAGGCUCAACCUCGAGACGUCGGUUGAAACCGUAUGGCUAGAGUCCGGAAGAGGAGAGUGGAAUUCCCGGUGUAGCGGUGAAAUGCGCAGAUAUCGGGAAGAACACCCGUGGCGAAGGCGGCUCUCUGGGACGGUACUGACGCUGAGACGCGAAAAGCGUGGGGGAGCGAACAGGG
RNAcentral lists this ribosomal RNA (256 nucleotides) under uncultured bacterium. RNAcentral's name for it is "partial 16S ribosomal RNA". It matches the Rfam family "Bacterial small subunit ribosomal RNA", at positions 524 to 777 of the family's 1533-position model. The record is from RNAcentral.